This is a non-coding RNA of Trichonephila clavipes, 73 nucleotides long. The record is from the annotation of a GenBank genome assembly. Lineage: Eukaryota; Metazoa; Arthropoda; Arachnida; Araneae; Nephilidae.
GUCCCUGUAGCGUAUUGGGUAGCGCGUUGGAAAUCUACUCCAAAGGUCAUGGGUUCGAAUCCCACAUGGGAUG